UGCAAAUGCAACUUAAAUAUGAACAAAUAUGAAUCAUUGUUAAUGUUUAGACAAUAGUUGUUCAUAUAUCAUGAAUAAAUACAAGUUUUUCACACUUUAUAUAAUAUUACGUGGGGGACUUUUAUUUUGAAAGUUUCUUAAAUUCCGCAACACGGAAGUACUUUUAUUUUUUUUGUGUUGCUGACGACAAGCUGGUGACUCCUAGUUACAGGGCGGCAGCUUCGAUCGCACAUGGCAGACGACAAAAGGGUUGUGUUUCAGCUCGCAAAGCGGUUCACAAAUAUAUUCAGAACACACUAUGCAGCCGGUCUGUAUACCUCAGUGUUGUGUGCAGCCUGUCCGAGUGGUGAGAUGCCUUUGGAUAUACGGCGUAAAAAACAACAUUAUUUUAUUGGGUUAGGCUGAAAGGCUGUAAAGUUGAGCAUCCCACUGCUACUGUUCUAGAUGACUGUUGGGAAUAUACAAGUAGACAAGGCAGUGGUUUUGGUUGGACAGUUGGAAAAACUUGCUGAUGAGAGUGGUUGGAGGUUGGCCCUUCCGUGGUGAUUAAGGUCUGUUCCUCCAUGGUUAUAGUUAGUUAGCUCGUAGAUUUAGCAAAAGCAGAGUGGGUAGCCACUUUGUCGAUGUGCACAAGAGUAACUAACUAGGCACUUUUGCUAACCUUGCCUGGUGGGUUCUUCUAGAUUUAGCGAACUAACGUUAACUAUCUCAAUCUAGUCAAGUAGCCAACAAACAUUCAACACUGAAACUAAAAAGUUGAUUUCCUUGCUCAAGUAUGGGGAUGUGCUUACCGUGCCUUGGUGGACCUGGAAACGACUUGUCCACCACACCAGAUCGAGAGACAAGGAGACUUGAGCUGGCAGAGGCCGCUGAGAAGAGACAGAAAGAGGUGUGACUGUUUUGGACAAGUUGUUAUGACAACCAUAUACGGUAAGCUUACACUGGUACAGCAAAGGGCUGGUUUCCCGGACACAGAUUAAGCCUAGUCCAGGAUUGAAAAGCAUUUUCCAUGGAGAUUCACUGUUAAAUUAUUCUUUUUUUUCAGUCCAGGACUAGGAUUAAUUUGUGUCCAGGAAACCAGCCCUAUAUAGCCCACACAUGGUGGUCCUGUGUGGCUCAGUUGGAUUAGGGUGUGGUGAGGUUGUGGGGUCAGUUCCCGCAGGGAUCCUGUACACCACUGUACCAUGAGUCAUUUAGCUGGGAUGAGUGUCUUCUAAGUGGCGUACUGUAGACAACCACUGAACAGUCAGUAGAGCUGGGCGAUACGGACACAAAUCCAUAUUGUGAUAAAUUGCCUGAAUUUAUGCGAUAAAGUUUAUAACAUUUAAUGUGCACCAUUUGUACAAAAUAAAUGUUAUCCUUUAAACUACUACUAGUUGUAUGGUUGUAGCCAUCUAUUGUUCCAUGAACAAUCAGUCAUAUUAGAAAACAUUUAAUUUCAAAACACAUCUCUAGUUAUAGGCUACUUAUCGUAAUGAACGAUAUCUGCCAAAAUGCCUGUGAUAAGUGAUUGGUAUGGUUUAUUUGUCCCAACUCUACCAGUUUAUCUCAGCAGCCAGCCACUCUCCCAGUCUUGUUAUUCGUAUAGAAGAGCUUCCUGAGACAGAGUGGAGUCUGCUGGGAGAAGAGAGAAGGCAUCUCAUUACCUUUCCCUUUUACCACUAUCGUGUUAACUGACCGAAAAUCCCUACUGCGCUGGCUCCAAUCCCUUCCCAGUACGGUUCCAGCAGCUACAGAUGUAGGAUCUUAAUGUGAUCACCCAGAACUUGCUGUAUAUUUGAGAUUUAAAAAGUCUUCUGAACUUUGUAAUUUCCACUGUGAUAUUUCAGACUCGAUUUUUCCCUUACGAAAAAUUUAUCAACUCCUACAAAAAAAAAAUCAAUUUAAUUAUAAUACACAUAAUAAUUCACUUUUUCUGUUGCUGCGUGAUAAUGUUCAGGCUGUAGCAAACUGGCUCAAAUGAAGAUCCUACAUCUGUACGGUAGAUGUGCCGUGUAACCAGGUCAGCACACUGCAGCUCGGCUUGAUUUCCGCUCCGUAGUGUGAAAAGGUUAGCCGAAUAUAACGAGGCUUGAACCAAGAAAUCCAAUCUAGAAAUUCAAUCUAUGGUGUUUUGUACCCUUUGUUGCAAGGCUACUAAAGUCUCUUCAAUCAUAAUGUUUAGUAGCUCCUCAUAAGACUGGUGGGUAAAUGUUUAUUUUUUACUGUUAUACAGAAAUUCUUGAGUCAAAGCCAAUUGUAUCCAACCCAUAAAACAUGUCAUCCUACUAAAGCAUCGAGGUGAGUAUGAAGACCGUGUUCUUAGCUCCAUGUUUUGACUCGGCUGGUAUUUCCUCCCACCACCCACACCACCCACCUCUCACUUCUGGUGCUGCACACCUUGUCAUUCUGUCUUAACUUUAUUUUAAACGUUCCUUACCCUGGUUCCAGAUCUGUUUGCGCUGUCUUGCCAGCUCCAAUGGUUAUUGUCACUCCGUUGACCACAGGAUUUGGCAAGACGGCACAAACAGAUCUGGAACCAGGAUAUAACUUAUGCUUUUCCCCGACACAACAACACUAUAUACUGGAACUUAAUGCCUCUAACAGAUCUGGGACCAGGCCUCUUGCCACAUUGGAGGUCAUAUAAUCCAGCAUGUGUCAAA
Salvelinus fontinalis (brook trout) is the source of this 2642-nucleotide long non-coding RNA. RefSeq lists it as uncharacterized. The record is from RefSeq and is a predicted model, not a curated record. Lineage: Eukaryota; Metazoa; Chordata; Actinopteri; Salmoniformes; Salmonidae. The transcript is spliced from 2 exons.